GGUUGUAUUAAUAGACAUACAGUAGCCAUAAUAAAGAAGAUAAACGUUCCCCCAUCUUCUAUAACCUAAAUGAGAAAGGAAUUGGUGAUGGUUAGCCUGGAGAAAGAAGGGAUUGGUGGAAGCACGGUGACAUUAGAACGCAUCAUAAACAUAUCUGUAGCAUGGGACAAUUGACCUGCCUAGAAGACGACUGGGCCAGGAGCAUGACAUAAUUUCAAGUCAGUUGAAGAAAAUAGAAAAGGAACUGCUGAGUAGACGUACUGGUCCAAGAACAGUGAAAGACAUGUAAAGCAGAUGUAACCCCAAACAACAGCUGAAGAAGAGUUGCCCAACUCCGCCAGCCUAGAUCAAACUGCAGUCAAAUGUACACCCUUGAGCAUGGGAAUAAAUUCAUGUUUUUGUAAAUCAUGA
Molecule: long non-coding RNA, 411 nt
Filed under: Homo sapiens (human)
Lineage: Eukaryota; Metazoa; Chordata; Mammalia; Primates; Hominidae
Description: NREP antisense RNA 1
Source: RNAcentral